CUGUGGGCCAUCAACCUAUGCCCCCUGUCCCUCACCCCUGGCUGGAUCAGUCCAUCUCCUGACCUGGGGGCUUUCCCUUCCGGAUGGGGCUGGUCUGGGCCACACAGAGACAGAUCUUCCUAGGAAGGCCAGGGUGGGGAGAACACAACCUAGGCGGCCCCUCUCUUCCACAGCCCCUCUCCCAACCCUGCGAGGGGGGCCCAGGCCUGCCACAUACAGGACUCCCACACUGCAUGACCCCUCACCCCCAAACCCAUAUCCACCAGGACUCUCUCCCAUGGCUGUCUCCCAGUAUCUGUUCCUUCUCAUGCCCCUGCAGGGCCCUGGCCUGUCUAUGAUCCUGCCUCCACCAAAUUCAAGGUGUGGGGAGACGGGUGCCGUGGUUGGGAGCUGUUCAGCCCACUCCUGACCUCUUCUAGACCCAUGGCUUUCCUGUCCUGCAGCCAGAGCUAGAGGCCCGCUCGGCCUUGCCAGAAGCAUCCAACUUUGAGACUUUGCAGGCUGCCAGGUGCUGGUUGCGGGGCACACAGCCUGGGGCGCUGGGAGGUAAUAUGGGGAUCUGGAGAAACUCCGUGAAGAGAUGUAGCCAUGCGGGGCCUGAAUCUCCUGAACUAGAGCCAGUUUCCUGAGAUUAGAACCUGUGUGUAUGCACAUGUGAAUGUAUGUGUGAGUGCACAUGUGUGUAAGUGCAGUGUGCAUAAAUGUAUGAGUCUGUGUGUGUUAGCAUGCCUGUGUGUGAGCCCAUGUGUGUGCACCAGUGCACACGUGUAUGAAUGUUGAUGCAUUUGUAAGCACACCUGUGUGUGUGUGAGUACAUGUGCACACAUGUGUGCACAAAUGUGCAUUUCUAUGAGUGUGAGCACAAGCAUGUGUGUAUGAGUGUUCAUGUGUAUGAGUGUGUACGUAUGCAGGUGAGUGCAUGUGUGUGUGAGCGUGUUUGUGUGUUCCCCUUGGCUGCUAGGCCAACGACUGCUUCUCUGCAUCCUGCUGUCUUCGCUACCUGAGGGUCUGUGACUUCUUCCCUGUGUGGGUCCAGCCUGGCCCCCUGUAAGUAAAUGUCCAAAAGCCCCUUGCCCCUCCCGUAGGGCUACCAGGGAACGUACUCUACUGCAUAUGUUCUAGUGGAAGAGAAGCUGGGGUUCUAGCAAAGAAGAGCCAAACUUUGGUGGCCUUUGGUGCCCCCUGUCAGCUCCCCAUGACAAUGGGGCUACAGACACUGUGUGUUCAGCCUGCCCAGGGGCUGGGGCUCUUUAAGGCUUUGUAGAUGAGGUUUCCAUGGACCUUCAAAGGUGCCAGCAGCCUGCAGGGGAAAGGCGAACUCCCUCCUUGCAGGGAAAGGAGAUGUCUAGCCAAUGAUGCCCGGCUUCUGAGGCCCAGAGGAGCAGGUGGGAUGGGAGCAGCCCCUGGGGCUGGUGUCCUGAAGAUGAAAUGAAAGGGGCUGCCUAUCUCAGUUGGCGGGAGGUGUUAGAAGUGGAUGUGCAAGACCAGCCACUGGAGGUAGCUCUCUGGAAUCAAAGAGAGGCCUGCUUUUCUACCAGACAUGGGAGCAGCAUGUGGGAAACAAGGGUCUACCCAGAGAGCAGAGUCAGCCUAGUCCUUGCAGCCUCAGGAAGUCCUGGGCCCAAGUGAGUCCUGGUCCAAGGACCCCCCUGGAAAGCUGCAGUUCAGUGGGCUUCACUGCAGCCCCUGGCCGCGGCCUAUGCCCUCCCUGGGCCCCUGUGGGGCUGGGCAUUGUGUCUGACCUGUGCAUCUCCCAUGGGAGGGCUGGGCACAGGCAGUGCUAUGGCCUUUUAUUUUUUCUUUUUCCAAUAAAAGAACUUGCCCAGCGUGAAGCUCUGUGAUGCUUUCUCUGCCCCAUGACGAUGGAGGGUCAGUUCUAUGCCCCAGGACCACAUGAGGGGAUAAUCGGCUGCCUGAACUGGACCUCACAUGGGGAGCAGGAUGAACUCUGUCUUCUUGGAGCUUGUAGUCUACUGGGGAGGCAGACAUCUCAGCACCUCUAAUCUGGAAUCUUUGGGGCACUUGUAGCCUUGGGUGGGGGAACAGGUUGGACUGAAAGCCAGGCCAAAAGUAAUCAAUUAAUGAUAUCAAUAAAUCCUCAAUUCUUGAGCUCUUCCCCUGGGUUGGGUCCUGUUGGGAGUUGGAUCACUCAGGUCACUCAGUACUGAAGAUGAGAAAGUAGCUGGAUGAUCACUUCUCGGCCUUUUGGCCGAGAUCAAGUAUGGAGAAAGUAGCUGGAUGUUGGAAUCUAGCAGAGUUGUGUCUUGAAUUUUAUAAUUUAUUGAGCACCUACUAUGUGCCAGAUACUUUGCUAAAACCAUAUGUUAGAUCUGGGAGGGGAUUUAAAGAUCACUUGAAUCCUGUCACAGAGGUCCAGAGAGGGUGGGUGACUUGCCCCAGGCCACACAGCUGGUUGAUGAUAACAGGGCCCAAGCUUGGAACCCCGGUAUCCCGACUUAGUGCCCAUUCUGUUACCACAGGGAUGGCACCCAGGUGGGAAGCUGCCUGAGGCUGCAGGGAGACUGGGGUCACACACUCAGGCCUGUUCCCAGAGAGGGGCUCAUCAGACUGUGGGGACAACGGCUCCAGCCUCUUGGGUGGGGGCUGGGCAGUCCCCUCUGGGUGGUUCUCAUGUUUGUUCUCACUGCCGCUAAGGGCAGCUUGGUGCUUGCCUGAACUGUGUGCAGCCUGGACUCACUCCCUCUGCUGGAACCUGGGCCAUGUGUGGGUUGCCACAAGUGAGGGUGUUCUCUAAUAUGAGGGCAGGUUCAUUCUGUUUUGGGAUAGGAAGUUUGUUCUACCUCGAGGCCAGAUUUGAACCCAAACUCAGCUCUUCUAGAGAGGAGGUCCUGGGGAGGGGGUGAGGAUUUACUAAACUGGUAAAACCAAAUCCGGGUGCUUAUCUGACUGAGAGGCAUUCAACCCUUCCAUUUUCAAAUGGUAAUCAUAAUAUUAAUAGUAGCUGACGUUUAUUUAGCACUUCCUAUGUGCCAGGCACUAGGCUAAGACUCUAUACAUAAUUAGUCAUUCGAUCCUCACAGCAACCCUCCAUGGCAUGGAUUCUUAUUUCCCAUUUUACAUAUGGGGAAACUGAGGCUCAUGGAAGUUAAGUAACUGGGAAGUUGCAGAUCUUGGCUUUGAAUCUAGGCAAUCUGACUCCAAACUGCAAGGAAGAAGACAGAUCCAGCCUUGGAGGCCGCUUAGCAGCUUGAGGGCCUCAGCCGUCCUGGGAUUAGGAUCAGGCAGAUUCCCAGGGAAGGACUUGGAGCUAUGCCUGGGCUUUGAGGCUGGGCUGGCACCUCCACUUCCAGGGCAUCAUGGGAGUGUGCAUGGGCUGUGCUCGCAGGCAUGCGGGACCCAGAGGCAGCCCGGUGAAGGGUAGUGGGGGACCCGACUCAUUGUGAGCCUGGGGAGGUGUGGUUUCUCUCUGCCGGCUUAGUUACAGGCAGUGGCCUGUCUCUCUGGGGUCUGGCUGCAGCCAUGUCCCUGCACCCACCUUGCCAGCCAGGGACAGGCCCCGUCAAGACCCAGGAGCAGCUCCAGCCUCAGCCAGACUGUCCCCCAGGUCCCAAGUGAGGCCCCAGCCACCCAGGCAUGCCUCAGGAAGCUCCUGCUGCACACGCUCCUCUCCCUGCGCCAGCACCCUGCUGUCUGCCUUCCUUCCUUUGGCCACAGGCCCAGUGUGUGUGAAACCACAGGAUUUACAGAAGCUCGAGGUGCCACUGAGUGGCAGAAUUAUGCACUGCACUCGGGGAAUCAAAGGUGGAGGCAGAAAGAACUAUGGCUGUUGUGACACUUCCCCCACGGCUCCCCAGCUGGCAGCCACUGCCACCCACAGGGACUUUUCUCUGGCUUCCAGAGAGCCCAGACUUUGGAGGUUUCUGCAUGACCCUUCUCGGGCGACUUCUAGGAGGAUUUAUUCUCCUGGCAGUGCCGAGGGCAGCCUGCACCAAGCUUACAACUCUUCCUCCAAGAGGAUGUUCAAAGGGCCUGUCAUUUCAGCGUCUGCUGGACAGCAGAACUUCAUGUGAGGAUCCUGGAGCUGCGCUGGGUUUUGAAUCAGGGACAAUGGAGGAAGUGGGAAAGUGUGAAGAGAGUCAGAGGGCUGUGUCAGCUGCCCCCCUUCCCACCCCCAGCAAUUCACUUAACUUUCCUGAGCCUCAGCUUUGUCAUUAUGAGAAUGUGCAUAUUUAUAAAUAAUCAUCUGUUUCUCCAAUGUAAGAUAUUAUUGUUAUUGCAGAAGUGAUACUAGGACCUCGUUAUAUGAUGGCCUCAUGAUACAGAUUUAUAGCAGGCUUCAGAUUCUGGCAUAGAAUAAAUAGAUAUUUAUCCAAGGGUUCACUGAUUCCCUAAUAAAUGCCAGGAACAUUCAUGUACAUUAUUAAUCCAUUUAAUUCUCGAACACUGGGGUGUUGAAAUCUUAUUUUACAGAUGAGGAAACUGACAUUCUGGGUGGUUAGGUAGCUUGACAAGGGCUAGUAAGUAUCAGAG
RNA transcript from Nomascus leucogenys (northern white-cheeked gibbon), 4491 nucleotides. RefSeq lists it as uncharacterized. The transcript has 2 exons. NCBI's taxonomy places the organism in Eukaryota, Metazoa, Chordata, Mammalia, Primates, Hylobatidae. The record is from RefSeq and is a predicted model, not a curated record.